RNAcentral lists this long non-coding RNA (314 nucleotides) under Elaeis guineensis (African oil palm). RNAcentral's name for it is "long non-coding RNA (EGUI_LNC070996)". The record is from RNAcentral. Lineage: Eukaryota; Viridiplantae; Streptophyta; Magnoliopsida; Arecales; Arecaceae.
CGGAGUAGACCGCUCGUAGUAGAAGUUCGGCUCUCACAGGAGCUCGGUUGGAAUCCUAAAGGCGGUCGACCACGGUAGAAACUUGGCUGGAGUCUGAUUACUGUAGAAAUCUCGUUGUCGAAGAAGCUCGGAUAUUGACGAAGUUCGAAAGAAGUUCGGAGAAUAGUUGAUCACUGUAGAAGGUCAGCUGAUAGUGAGGCCUAGAGAGCCUUUGGAGCGGCCCGGUAGAUGGAUGGAGAAGCUCAUUGUCGGAGAAGUUCGGACGGUAUUAUGGAAGUCCGGACGGUCGAGAGGGUUCAGAGAGAUGCCACACA